UACGGGGGGAGCAAGCGUUGUUCGGAUUUACUGGGCGUAAAGGGCGCGUAGGCGGCCACCGCAAGUCGACUGUGAAAUCUCCGGGCUUAACCCGGAAAGGUCAGCCGAUACUGCGGGGCUAGAGUGCAGAAGGGGCAACUGGAAUUCUUGGUGUAGCGGUGAAAUGCGUAGAUAUCAAGAGGAACACCUGAGGUGAAGACGGGUUGCUGGGCUGACACUGACGCUGAGGCGCGAAAGCUAGGGGAGCAAACGGG
RNAcentral lists this ribosomal RNA (254 nucleotides) under uncultured bacterium. Its description in RNAcentral is "partial 16S ribosomal RNA". It matches the Rfam family "Bacterial small subunit ribosomal RNA", at positions 524 to 776 of the family's 1533-position model. The record is from RNAcentral.